Molecule: microRNA, 21 nt
Filed under: Citrus sinensis (sweet orange)
Lineage: Eukaryota; Viridiplantae; Streptophyta; Magnoliopsida; Sapindales; Rutaceae
Also listed under: 1 other name
Description: csi-miR156g-3p
Gene: csi-miR156g-3p
Source: miRBase by way of RNAcentral
GCUCUCUAUUCUUCUGUCAUC